This is a long non-coding RNA of Nicotiana attenuata, 435 nucleotides long. RefSeq lists it as uncharacterized. The transcript is spliced from 3 exons. The record is from RefSeq and is a predicted model, not a curated record. Lineage: Eukaryota; Viridiplantae; Streptophyta; Magnoliopsida; Solanales; Solanaceae.
AUAAGAGAACAGCCGGGACUCUUUUCCGUCACCUCGAUUCUGCUUUCUCUGCUUGCCUCUGACUGAAUUAUUCUUAGGGUUCUGUUCUACUUCUUGCCAAGCUACUAGUGGAGUUCCUACAUCUGAUAGAUUACUAUGGAGCUCCUCAGUAUCAGAAUUUCUCGGCCCAUCUCCAAGAUCAAGAAUUUGAAGAUAUGAAGAAUCAUCUUUGAGACAAUGUAGAGUGAGUUGAAGUUUAAAGAACAAGUUGAAGUAGAAGAAGAAUCUACAUUAUUUUGCUAGCAGUUGUUUAAAGAUGUUAUCAUUUGUACAUGCAACAAUUUCGUUUUUUUUUUCUCUAGGAGUAGGAAAAGAAUAAUAUCAUACAAUUAGGAUACGUAUACUUUUUGUAAUGCGACUCUUUAGUUCUUUGUAAUUAAAGAAUUAUGUUUUAUA